RNAcentral lists this ribosomal RNA (396 nucleotides) under uncultured bacterium. Its description in RNAcentral is "partial 16S ribosomal RNA". It matches the Rfam family "Bacterial small subunit ribosomal RNA", at positions 359 to 773 of the family's 1533-position model. The record is from RNAcentral.
GAUAUUGCGCAAUGGGGGGAACCCUGACGCAGCAACGCCGCGUGAAGGAAGAAGGCCUUCGGGUCGUAAACUUUUGUCUUCAGGGAAGAUAGUGACGGUACCUGAAGAGGAAGCCACGGCUAACUACGUGCCAGCAGCCGCGGUAAUACGUAGGUGGCGAGCGUUGUCCGGAUUUACUGGGUGUAAAGGGCGUGUAGGCGGGAUGGCAAGUCAGGUGUGAAAUACCAAGGCUUAACCUUGGGGGUGCACUUGAAACUGCUGUUCUUGAGUGUCGGAGAGGAAAGCGGAAUUCCUAGUGUAGCGGUGAAAUGCGUAGAUAUUAGGAGGAACACCAGUGGCGAAGGCGGCUUUCUGGACGAUAACUGACGCUGAGGCGCGAAAGCGUGGGGAGCAAAC